GCGGACGUGGCGAAAUUGGUAGACGCAAGGGACUUAAAAUCCCUCGACCUUGGUCAUACGGGUUCGAUUCCCGUCGUCCGCACCA
RNAcentral lists this transfer RNA (85 nucleotides) under Methylocella tundrae. RNAcentral's name for it is "tRNA-Leu". It matches the Rfam family "tRNA". From Rfam's summary of the family: Transfer RNA (tRNA) molecules are approximately 80 nucleotides in length. Their secondary structure includes four short double-helical elements and three loops (D, anti-codon, and T loops). RNAcentral also lists the same sequence under 2 other names. Lineage: Bacteria; Pseudomonadati; Pseudomonadota; Alphaproteobacteria; Hyphomicrobiales; Beijerinckiaceae. The record is from RNAcentral.